This is a long non-coding RNA of Humulus lupulus (European hop), 116 nucleotides long. RefSeq lists it as uncharacterized. The record is from RefSeq and is a predicted model, not a curated record. Lineage: Eukaryota; Viridiplantae; Streptophyta; Magnoliopsida; Rosales; Cannabaceae. The transcript is spliced from 2 exons.
UGCUGAGCCUCUGUUCAAAUUGAUAAUGGGAUUUUCAGUGCUUAAUUUGGAUGGGUUGCCUGGUCUUGCACCUUUUGAGGAUUCCCAUACAACUAGCUGCAAAUUGAAGUUGUAAA